AACACAUGCAAGUCGAACGAAGCACUUCUUACGAGUCCCUCGGGUGACGAGUUGUGACUGAGUGGCGGACGGGUGAGUAACGCGUGGGUAACCUGCCUUAUACAGGGGGAUAACAGUUGGAAACGGCUGCUAAUACCGCAUAAGCGCACAGUAUCGCAUGAUACAGUGUGAAAAAACUCCGGUGGUAUAAGAUGGACCCGCGUCUGAUUAGCUAGUUGGUGAGGUAACGGCUCACCAAGGCGACGAUCAGUAGCCGAUCUGAGAGGAUGAACGGCCACAUUGGGACUGAGACACGGCCCAGACUCCUACGGGAGGCAGCAGUGGGGAAUAUUGCACAAUGGGCGAAAGCCUGAUGCAGCCGACGCCGCGUGAGCGAUGAAGUAUUUCGGUAUGUAAAGCUCUAUCAGCAGGGAAGAUAAUGACGGUACCUGACUAAGAAGCACCGGCUAAAUACGUGCCAGCCGCCGC
RNAcentral lists this ribosomal RNA (468 nucleotides) under uncultured bacterium. RNAcentral describes it as "bacterial SSU rRNA". It matches the Rfam family "Bacterial small subunit ribosomal RNA", at positions 50 to 518 of the family's 1533-position model. The record is from RNAcentral.